Molecule: long non-coding RNA, 1257 nt
Filed under: Salmo salar (Atlantic salmon)
Lineage: Eukaryota; Metazoa; Chordata; Actinopteri; Salmoniformes; Salmonidae
Description: lncRNA (ENSSSAG00000113517.1)
Source: RNAcentral
GUGUAUGUGAGAUGUGCGUUACUUGAACUCUGUGAAGCAUUUAUUUGGUCUGCAUAAUGAGGUGCAGAUAACUCUAAUGAACUUAUCUUCUGCAGCAGAGGUAACUCUGGGUCUUCCUUUCCUGUGGCGGUCCUCAUGAGAGCCAGUUUCAUCAUAGCGCUUGAUCAUUUUUGGGACUGCACUUGAAGAAACUUUCUGGAUUGACUGAUCUUCAUGUCUUAAAAUCCUCAAAAGGUUCUACAGCUGCACCAUCGAGAGCAUCCUGACCGGUUGCAUCCCCGCCUGGUAUGGCAACUGCUCGGCCAUCUGACCGUAAGGCGCUACAGAGGGUAGUGCGUACGUCCCAGUACAUCACUGGGGCCAAACUUCCUGCCAUCCAGGACCUAUAUACUAGGCGGUGUCAGAGGAAAGCCCAUCAAAUUGUCAGAGACUGUUUUCUCUGCUACUGCAAGGCAAGCGGUACCAGAGCGGCAAGUCUAGGACCAAAAGGCUCCUUAACUGCUUCUACCCCCAAGCCAUAAGACUGCUGAACAAUUAAUCAAAUGGCCACCGGACUAUUUACAAUGACAUCCACCCAUCCCUCCAUUUGUUUUGUACACUGCUGCUACUCGUGUUUAUUAUCUAUGUAUAGUCACAUCACCCCUACUUACAUGUACAAAUUACCUCAACUAGCCUGUACCCCCGCACACUGACUUGGUACCGGUACCCCCUUUAUAUAGCCUCCACAUUGACUCUGUACCGGUACCCCCUGUAUAUAGCCUCCACAUUGACUCUGUACCGGUACCCCCUGUAUAUAGCCUCCACAUUGACUCUGUACCGUAACACCCUGUAUAUAGCCUCCACAUUGUCUCUGUACAGUAACACCCUGUAUAUAGCCUCCACAUUGACUCUGUACCGGUACCCCCUGUAUAUAGCCUCCACACUGACUCUGUACCGGUACCGCCUGUAUAUAGCCUCCACAUUGACUCUGUACCGGUACCCCCUGUAUAUAGCCUCCACAUUGACUCUGUACCGGUACCCCCUGUAUAUAGCCUCCACAUUGACUCUGUACCGGUGCCCCCUGUAUAUAGCCUCCACAUUGACUCUGUACCGUUACCCCCUGUAUAUAGCCUCCACAUUGACUCUGUACCGGUACCCCCUGUAUAUAGCCUCCACAUUGACUCUGUACCGGUGCCCCCUGUAUAUAGCCUCCACAUUGACUCUGUACCGGUACCCCCUGUAUAUAGCCUCCACAUUGACUCUGUACCGGUGCCCCCU